This 292-nucleotide ribosomal RNA is filed under the name uncultured bacterium. RNAcentral's name for it is "partial 16S ribosomal RNA". It matches the Rfam family "Bacterial small subunit ribosomal RNA", at positions 505 to 796 of the family's 1533-position model. The record is from RNAcentral.
GUGCCAGCCGCCGCGGUAAUACAGAGGGUGCGAGCGUUGUUCGGAAUUACUGGGCGUAAAGCGCGUGUAGGCGGUUCAAUAAGUCAGAUGUGAAAUCCCGGGGCCUAACUCCGGAAGUGCAUUUGAAACUGUUGAGCUGGAGUGAUGUAGAGGAUGGCGGAAUACCCAGUGUAGAGGUGAAAUUCGUAGAGAUUGGGUAGAACACCGGUGGCGAAGGCGGCCAUCUGGGCAUUAACUGACGCUGAGACGCGAAAGCGUGGGGAGCAAACAGGAUUAGAUACCCUCGUAGUCC